Molecule: ribosomal RNA, 252 nt
Filed under: uncultured bacterium
Lineage: Bacteria
Description: partial 16S ribosomal RNA
Rfam family: Bacterial small subunit ribosomal RNA
Source: RNAcentral
UACGUAGGUCCCGAGCGUUGUCCGGAUUUAUUGGGCGUAAAGCGAGCGCAGGUGGUUUAUUAAGUCUGGUGUAAAAGGCAGUGGCUCAACCAUUGUAUGCAUUGGAAACUGGUAAACUUGAGUGCAGGAGAGGAGAGUGGAAUUCCUAGUGUAGCGGUGAAAUGCGUAGAUAUUAGGAGGAACACCAGUUGCGAAGGCGGCUCUCUGGACUGUAACUGACACUGAGGCACGAAAGCGUGGGGAGCAAACAGG